UCCACCACACCCGGUGUCAGAGAUUGGCUUGCUGCGCAAUGGGUGAGCGAACUCACUUCAGGUUCGGUAUCACAUUUACUAGGGGGAAAACAGCUACAUUUUCAGUUUUUUUGCAGUUAAGAAAGUUAAACCAAACCAUUCAGAGCCGUUGGCACGUUUUGGAGAGAGAAAUCACCUGCGAUGAGGCCCACUCUGCUGUGUCGUGUCCCUGGGCUGAGCUCUGGUCCUACGGCCUUGCCCUGUUACUUAUUCUCUGUCUCAGCUGCUAGGGAACAAGGUGCCCGAGAAUCCGCCUUGACGCUGCCUCAGCUCUCUCCUCUCUCUCCCACUCCCCCCAGUCUCCAAGCCCUGCACACUGCGUCAAUUCCUAAAUUGUUCCCGGCUCCUUUUCCUCCUCUUUCUUCCUGCAACCACUGGCUUAGCCAAGGCGAUCUCUUGAGGGUUUGAUAAAUUGCCAUCUUCUAGAGCUCCCCACCCCUGACGCUGAUGACUCUCAAUGCCAUCCUUUCAGAGUGCCAGAAUGGUGCACACAAAGGUGACUAUGACAGUGACAGCUUAGACUGUCUCAGUGGUUUCCCUCCCCUUGUCAGGAAGGACAAGCUCCUCACGAGGGCCUCACCCGCUUCACCCUCAGUUGCCUCAUCUUCCCUCUCCUCAGGAUCUGUCACCAGCGACUCGUGCUCAGGCAAAACUCAAGACUGGUAGCCCCCUAUAAACAGCAAGCAGAGCCUGAAGGCGAGUGUGCACGAUGUGGGUUUACCCAGCUCUGAUCAAACAGAGCUGGUCAUGAGCUGGCAAGAGGAGGAAAAGCAAGCAGAUAUCCAAGAAAUUAAAGCCGUCGCUCCUCACCUCUCUUAGAACUCAGACUGAUCCCCUUGUUUCCAGAAGUUGAGGAGUCCCCACGUCAGUGGAGCAUUUUACUUACUUGUCCAGGCCCUGGAGAAGAAGUCUGAGACUGGGCAAGCUGACGGCAGUGUGGCUGCAGCAUAACAGACAUGCACCGUGUCACUUACAUGGAGUUGAGGUGGCCUUUAUGUGUCAGAUUUACUAGAAAUGUAAAAGGGACAACUCUAAUAUAAAGUAUUAAAUUAUUAGAUGUUCCAAAAAUAUUUAUGCUAAGCAUCAGAUUUUCUUGGUGUGUGAAAUGUGUGGAAUGACUAUCACAAUUCCAGGUUUUUAUACUGGUUGGCACAAUUUUAAUCUGGGAAGACAGAUGUUCUGCACUUCUGUGUUUCUCCUUAGGAAUUAUUCAUUCACACAUUGAAUCACUUUUCAAAAUGAUAAACUUUUAUAGAGCACACAUCAAAUGCAAGGUGCCAUAAUAACUUUUUUCAAAUAGUUUUCUUGAGGAUUUAGGGGUAUUAUAUGAUUAAUAAAUGGAGAAAAGAAAUGUUGACAUUAUGCUACAAUGACAGGAAAAAGCUGCCUGGGUCAAGUUAGACUGUCACUCUGAUAAGCUUUUUCUCUGAAAACUGUUGGACUGAGAUGUUAAAAAUGACAUAAGGAUAUUGGGUAGAACAUCAUUUAAGGACCUCCACAAACUGAGAUCCUUUAAGCCGUCUGUAACUUAGAAUAUUUUCACUUAAAAUGGUGUUUGCUGUGGUUGGUUUCCAGGUGACCCAUAAGUCACCUGUGCUCACAGUGUUCCAGAACCUCCUGUCUCACGUAACAACAUACCUAGAGGUCGCGGCAUUCUGAGUUCUACGCAACUAGGGCCCUAGGCACACAACCACUCCAGUCUGAAACUGGCUUCUGAGGAGGGUGGGGCUCUCGGGCUUGAUCCAGUGAUGGGGACAUCACUAACUGGUGGCCAGGGCCCCAGCUUCAGGUGUCCUGGGCCAUGAAGGAACUUUGACCAGAGGCUUGUGGCUGCUCCUUCUGGUCCCCCGGGCACGGAUCCCCUGGCUGGACGUGAUCUUCUGGACAUGAGCAUGUGAAGAUCCAGGGGGGAUGAUUACACAGCACGCGCUGCAUGUGGACUUUCUGACUGGAGAAAUCCGGAGGGCAGAAGGGACAGAGGUGGAGUUCUGGCUUUGCUUCUGCUGCAGAGACAAAGUGUGAGUCAGAACUGAGAUUUGGUGGGGCAGCCCAAGCACUUCCGCCUGGUCUAAUAGCGAGACUCAAUUCCCUGUUCUUUAAAAUGCCUCAGGUUUAAGGGCUACCCAGUCAAGACUUCCUUUAUAUGACCCACUUUUACAGCCCAUCACAUCUUCCAUUACAAUCCAGAAAACCCACUCCUAAGAUCUAUUCUAUGUUUCAGACUAUAAAAGCACCACAGGCAGUUUUGGCUCUGUAAAUAGGGCCAAUAUGCAACAGUCCCCCCCCCCCCACUACAAUUAUCUUCCAACUCACAACCACCUACACUGGUAUCAGCCGUGUCCACAAGUAUUUUCUUUGACUGACAGAUACCUAACCAGAGGACCCAUGUGGAAAUGCCGUUACGUCUUUCCCUAUGUCCCUGUGAGGACAGGGAUGGAGGGAGCAAGCAGUCAUUCAGACUGGAGAACCCCUAGUGUAGGAAGCAGCGUCAGAGCGGCUAGAGAGAUCAUGUGUGAGACAGCCCAGCUGGCGUUUCCCUACCCACUAGGAAGUAUUUAUUACAGGAUUUCUUCGUGCCAGAAUUUCUACAAGGCAGUAGGCUUUCAGCAAUGGGCAACACAAACACAGUCUACGCCUCCAGUGACUUAAAAGAAGCUCCCUCUUGGUGCCCCUGACCAAUCCAAGCCCUAUUAAUUUCCAUAAUUAAGCUAAAUAAAAAUUUCCCCAGAAAUCAGUGGAAAAGAAA
Equus caballus (horse) is the source of this 2785-nucleotide non-coding RNA. The record is from RefSeq and is a predicted model, not a curated record. NCBI's taxonomy places the organism in Eukaryota, Metazoa, Chordata, Mammalia, Perissodactyla, Equidae.